RNAcentral lists this ribosomal RNA (478 nucleotides) under uncultured bacterium. Its description in RNAcentral is "partial 16S ribosomal RNA". It matches the Rfam family "Bacterial small subunit ribosomal RNA", at positions 28 to 523 of the family's 1533-position model. The record is from RNAcentral.
GACGAACGCUGGCGGCGUGCUCAACACAUGCAAGUCGAACGGUAAGGCCCUUCGGGGUACACGAGUGGCGAACGGGUGAGUAACACGUGGGUGAUCUGCCCUGCACUUCGGGAUAAGCCUGGGAAACUGGGUCUAAUACCGGAUAGGACCACUGCCUGCAUGGGUGGUGGUGGAAAGCUUUUGCGGUGUGGGAUGGGCCCGCGGCCUAUCAGCUUGUUGGUGGGGUGAUGGCCUACCAAGGCGACGACGGGUAGCCGGCCUGAGAGGGUGACCGGCCACACUGGGACUGGGAUACGGCCCAGAGUCCUACGGGAGGCGGCAGUGGGGAAUAUUGCACAAUGGGCGCAAGCCUGAUGCAGCGACGCCGCGUGAGGGAUGACGGCCUUCGGGUUGUAAACCUCUUUCAGCACCGACGAAGCGCAAGUGACGGUAGGUGCAGAAGAAGGACCGGCCAACUACGUGCCAGCCGCCGCCGUAA